Non-coding RNA from Halocaridina rubra (Hawaiian volcano shrimp), 82 nucleotides. The record is from the annotation of a GenBank genome assembly. Lineage: Eukaryota; Metazoa; Arthropoda; Malacostraca; Decapoda; Atyidae.
UCUAUUAUGAUCCCUGUGGCUCAGAGCACUAAGCUGUAGACUCCUGUACUAUAGGGUCCAGGUUCGAACCCUGACAGUAGAA